This 301-nucleotide ribosomal RNA is filed under the name uncultured bacterium. Its description in RNAcentral is "partial 16S ribosomal RNA". It matches the Rfam family "Bacterial small subunit ribosomal RNA", at positions 509 to 807 of the family's 1533-position model. The record is from RNAcentral.
CAGCAGCCGCGGGAAUACGUAGGGUGCAAGCGUUGUUCGGAAUUACUGGGCGUAAAGCGCACGUAGGCCGCUUUGUAAGUCAGAGGUGAAAGCCCGGGGCUCAACCCCGGAUGUGCCUUUGAGACUGCAGGGCUAGAACGUCGGAGAGGUGAGUGGAAUUCCGAGUGUAGAGGUGAAAUUCGUAGAUAUUCGGAAGAACACCAGUGGCGAAGGCGGCUCACUGGACGACUGUUGACGCUGAGGUGCGAAAGCGUGGGGAGCAAACAGGAUUAGAUACCCGGGUAGUCCCUGUCUCUUAUAC